GGGAGGUGGACGUUCGUUAAGUUUAACAGCAAUAUCAUUGGCAAUAAAAUUGUGGUUAAAUCAGAGGUUGUGAAUGGACGGUACGCGCUGGAUCAAGGAUUGGUCCUUGAAAAGAUGACAUUAUUAGGUUUGGAAAAUGUGAGAGGAUUGAAGAGCUAUGAGCUUGUUGGAUCACACCAGCAAGGGAACACAACAAUGAAGGAAAAACUUAAACAGAGUGGACAGUUUGUUGCUAUGGAAAUCUCAGAGAUGUCAAUACUGAUAGGGAAAGAGUUCAAAUUGGAGCUAUACAUCAUUACUUAAACAAAUGAAUUGUGUUAUAUAAGCUUGCUGUAUGAAAUUUUCUCACACUAUCAAUGCCGUUUAAUUUAUGAUAUUAUGUUCUUCCUAUUUUUACCAACUUACCUGUUAAUGUUUAU
Molecule: unclassified non-coding RNA, 419 nt
Filed under: Hevea brasiliensis (rubber tree)
Lineage: Eukaryota; Viridiplantae; Streptophyta; Magnoliopsida; Malpighiales; Euphorbiaceae
Source: RNAcentral